This 61-nucleotide microRNA precursor is filed under the name Pristionchus pacificus. RNAcentral describes it as "mir-8364 microRNA precursor family". It matches the Rfam family "mir-8364 microRNA precursor family". The record is from Rfam by way of RNAcentral. Lineage: Eukaryota; Metazoa; Nematoda; Chromadorea; Rhabditida; Neodiplogasteridae.
UCUUCAUUUCACGUGCUCACUCACCGCUCAGAGAGACGAGAGAGUGUGUGAGAUGAAGAGA